This is a long non-coding RNA of Ruditapes philippinarum (Manila clam), 430 nucleotides long. RefSeq lists it as uncharacterized. The transcript has 2 exons. Lineage: Eukaryota; Metazoa; Mollusca; Bivalvia; Venerida; Veneridae. The record is from RefSeq and is a predicted model, not a curated record.
CCAGUCAAUAUAAAGAUACACCUAGAACUAAUUGCAAAAGAAUUUUUAUCAACACCUCACGAAAGAACUUAAUCUUAAGUGCUUACCAUAAAAAGUCCCGAAUUUUUGCAUUUGCAAUUAAAAAGAUAAAAGCGGUUUUAUGUAGCGAUUUUUUCCAUUUUAAAACUUGCUCCAACUACGCUACCAUACCAGUAGAUUUCACGCGCAUUGUUUGUGACGUCACGGAAAAUAAGUAUGGCGGCGCCCAUAUUGAAUCUAAAACGGCUGUCAACAACCUUCGUUUUGGAACUUCUGAACCGUUUGGGGGUAAAGUACAAGGUUUUUACUUAAAAUCUAGGUGGACACCAAGUUCCUGAGUCAAUCAAUGACAACGAAUCUUCUGUCCGUAUUCGAGUUGGAGAAAAGGGAUACUAAGGGAUAUGUGCUGCUU